AGCGAACGCUGGCGGCAGGCUUAACACAUGCAAGUCGAACGGGCGUAGCAAUACGUCAGUGGCAGACGGGUGAGUAACGCGUGGGAACGUACCUUUUGGUUCGGAACAACCCAGGGAAACUUGGGCUAAUACCGGAUAAGCCCUUACGGGGAAAGAUUUAUCGCCGAAAGAUCGGCCCGCGUCUGAUUAGCUAGUUGGUGAGGUAACGGCUCACCAAGGCGACGAUCAGUAGCUGGUCUGAGAGGAUGACCAGCAUCACUGGGACUGAGACACGGCCCAGACUCCUACGGGAGGCAGCAGGUGGGGAAUAUUGGACAAGUGGGCGCAAGCCUGAUCCAGCCAUGCCGCGUGGAUGAUGAAGGCCC
RNAcentral lists this ribosomal RNA (365 nucleotides) under uncultured bacterium. RNAcentral's name for it is "bacterial SSU rRNA". It matches the Rfam family "Bacterial small subunit ribosomal RNA", at positions 29 to 417 of the family's 1533-position model. The record is from RNAcentral.